Molecule: ribosomal RNA, 439 nt
Filed under: uncultured bacterium
Lineage: Bacteria
Description: partial 16S ribosomal RNA
Rfam family: Bacterial small subunit ribosomal RNA
Source: RNAcentral
CUACGGGAUGCUCCAGUGGGGAAUAUUGGACAAUGGGCGAAAGCCUGAUCCAGCAAUGCCGCGUGAGUGAUGAAGGCCCUAGGGUUGUAAAGCUCUUUUACCCGGGAAGAUAAUGACUGUACCGGGAGAAUAAGCCCCGGCUAACUCCGUGCCAGCAGCCGCGGUAAUACGGAGGGGGCUAGCGUUGUUCGGAAUUACUGGGCGUAAAGCGCACGUAGGCGGCUUUGUAAGUCAGAGGUGAAAGCCUGGAGCUCAACUCCAGAACUGCCUUUGAGACUGCAUCGCUUGAAUCCAGGAGAGGUCAGUGGAAUUCCGAGUGUAGAGGUGAAAUUCGUAGAUAUUCGGAAGAACACCAGUGGCGAAGGCGGCUGACUGGACUGGUAUUGACGCUGAGGUGCGAAAGCGUGGGGAGCAAACAGGAUUAGAUACCCCGGUAGUC